UGGGGAAUAUUGGACAAUGGGCGCAAGCCUGAUCCAGCCAUGCCGCGUGAGUGAUGAAGGCCCUAGGGUUGUAAAGCUCUUUCACCGGUGAAGAUAAUGACGGUAACCGGAGAAGAAGCCCCGGCUAACUUCGUGCCAGCAGCCGCGGUAAUACGAAGGGGGCUAGCGUUGUUCGGAUUUACUGGGCGUAAAGCGCACGUAGGUGGACUAUUAAGUCAGGGGUGAAAUCCCGGGGCUCAACCCCGGAACUGCCUUUGAUACUGGUAGUCUUGAGUUCGAGAGAGGUGAGUGGAAUUCCGGGUGUAGAGGUGAAAUUCGUAGAUAUUCGGAGGAACACCAGUGGCGAAGGCGGCUCACUGGAUCGAUACUGACGCUGAGGUGCGAAAGCGUGGGGAGCAAACAGG
This 404-nucleotide ribosomal RNA is filed under the name Actinomycetes bacterium. RNAcentral describes it as "Actinobacteria bacterium partial 16S ribosomal RNA". It matches the Rfam family "Bacterial small subunit ribosomal RNA", at positions 355 to 776 of the family's 1533-position model. The record is from RNAcentral. Lineage: Bacteria; Bacillati; Actinomycetota; Actinomycetes.